RNAcentral lists this ribosomal RNA (253 nucleotides) under uncultured bacterium. Its description in RNAcentral is "partial 16S ribosomal RNA". It matches the Rfam family "Bacterial small subunit ribosomal RNA", at positions 524 to 776 of the family's 1533-position model. The record is from RNAcentral.
GACAGAGGGUGCAACCGUUGUUCGGAUUUACUGGGCGUAAAGCGCGUGUAGGCGGCUUUGCAAGUCGGAUGUGAAAUCCCACGGCUCAACCGUGGAAGUGCACUCGAAACUGCAGGGCUAGAGUCCUGGAGAGGAAGGUGGAAUGCUUGGUGUAGAGGUGAAAUUCGUAGAUAUCAAGCGGAACACCGGUGGCGAAGGCGGCCUUCUGGACAGUGACUGACGCUGAGACGCGAAAGCGUGGGGAGCAAACAGG